GAGGUUGUGGCUCAGUGGUUGAGCGCUUGCCUAGGAUGUGCAAAAGCCCUGGGUUCCAUCCUCAGCGCCACA
RNAcentral lists this transfer RNA (72 nucleotides) under Marmota monax (woodchuck). RNAcentral describes it as "tRNA.Pro". The record is from RNAcentral. Lineage: Eukaryota; Metazoa; Chordata; Mammalia; Rodentia; Sciuridae.